Molecule: transfer RNA, 71 nt
Filed under: Johnsonella sp.
Lineage: Bacteria; Bacillati; Bacillota; Clostridia; Lachnospirales; Lachnospiraceae
Description: tRNA-Gln
Rfam family: tRNA
About the family: Transfer RNA (tRNA) molecules are approximately 80 nucleotides in length. Their secondary structure includes four short double-helical elements and three loops (D, anti-codon, and T loops). Further hydrogen bonds mediate the characteristic L-shaped molecular structure. tRNAs have two regions of fundamental functional importance: the anti-codon, which is responsible for specific mRNA codon recognition, and the 3' end, to which the tRNAs corresponding amino acid is attached (by aminoacyl-tRNA synthetases). tRNAs cope with the degeneracy of the genetic code in two manners: having more than one tRNA (with a specific anti-codon) for a particular amino acid; and 'wobble' base-pairing, i.e. permitting non-standard base-pairing at the 3rd anti-codon position.
Source: RNAcentral
UGGGCUAUGGCCAAGCGGCAAGGCAAAGGACUUUGACUCCUUUAUCGUUGGUUCGAAUCCAACUAGCCCAA